RNAcentral lists this ribosomal RNA (379 nucleotides) under uncultured Anaerolineae bacterium. RNAcentral's name for it is "partial 16S ribosomal RNA". It matches the Rfam family "Bacterial small subunit ribosomal RNA", at positions 338 to 733 of the family's 1533-position model. Lineage: Bacteria; Bacillati; Chloroflexota; Anaerolineae. The record is from RNAcentral.
CCUACGGGAGGCAGCAGUAAGGAAUCUUGCGCAAUGGGCGAAAGCCUGACGCAGCGACGCCGCGUGGGCGAUGAAGGCCUUCGGGUUGUAAAGCCCUUUUCUGGGGGACGAGGAAGGACGGUACCCCAGGAAUAAGUCACGGCUAACUACGUGCCAGCAGCCGCGGUAAAACGUAGGAUCCGAGCGUUAUCCGAAUUUACUGGGCGUAAAGCGCGUGCAGGCGGUUCGGUAAGUUGGGUGUGAAAUCUCCCGGCUCAACUGGGAGAGGUCGCUCAAUACUGUCGGACUAGAGGAUGGUAGAGGGAGGGGGAAUUCCCGGUGUAGGGGGGAAAUGCGUAGAUAUCGGGAGGAACACCAGUGGCGAAGGCGGCCCCCUGGA